UUUGACUUGUCUGGGGCAGCAUUUGGCGUCAUCACUACCGUUGGAAUAUAUUUUUCUAUAGGGCAUAUUCCUCCCUCAACUGCCUCGUUGUACUCCUGAUUCAUGAUCUGAAUCAUCAAUCUUCGAUCCAUAUCGAAUUCAGGUUGACCACUCUGUACAGGGUAAUUCAAAACUCGAUGUUGGAUUCUCCCAAUUGCUUUCCAAAAAGAGAAAUUCAUAUCAUCUAUUUUAGCCUUCUUAGAUCGGACAUCUCUUUCCACAAUAUCCACGUGUCGUGUG
RNAcentral lists this long non-coding RNA (279 nucleotides) under Panax ginseng (ginseng). Its description in RNAcentral is "long non-coding RNA (PGIN_LNC013977)". Lineage: Eukaryota; Viridiplantae; Streptophyta; Magnoliopsida; Apiales; Araliaceae. The record is from RNAcentral.